This is a non-coding RNA of Echria macrotheca, 140 nucleotides long. Lineage: Eukaryota; Fungi; Ascomycota; Sordariomycetes; Sordariales; Schizotheciaceae. The record is from the annotation of a GenBank genome assembly.
GGCAAAGUGGCCGAGCGGUCUAAGGCGCCACGUUAAGGUUCAUCCUUAAUCACUCUCUAUUCCUAUCGUAUUAUUACGGGUUAUGUAAUAGCAGCUCUCCGUGGUCCGAAAGGGCGUGAGUUCGAAUCUCACCUUUGUCA